This is a transfer RNA of Alligator mississippiensis (American alligator), 83 nucleotides long. It matches the Rfam family "tRNA". Rfam says of the family: Transfer RNA (tRNA) molecules are approximately 80 nucleotides in length. Their secondary structure includes four short double-helical elements and three loops (D, anti-codon, and T loops). Further hydrogen bonds mediate the characteristic L-shaped molecular structure. tRNAs have two regions of fundamental functional importance: the anti-codon, which is responsible for specific mRNA codon recognition, and the 3' end, to which the tRNAs corresponding amino acid is attached (by aminoacyl-tRNA synthetases). tRNAs cope with the degeneracy of the genetic code in two manners: having more than one tRNA (with a specific anti-codon) for a particular amino acid; and 'wobble' base-pairing, i.e. permitting non-standard base-pairing at the 3rd anti-codon position. NCBI's taxonomy places the organism in Eukaryota, Metazoa, Chordata, Crocodylia, Alligatoridae. The record is from Rfam.
ACCAGGAUGGCUGAGUGGUUAAGGUGUUGGACUUAAAAUCCAAUGGAUAUAUGUCCACGUGGGUUUGAACCCCACUCCUGGUA